Molecule: ribosomal RNA, 478 nt
Filed under: uncultured bacterium
Lineage: Bacteria
Description: partial 16S ribosomal RNA
Rfam family: Bacterial small subunit ribosomal RNA
Source: RNAcentral
GAUGAACGCUGGCGGCGUGCCUAACACAUGCAAGUCGAACGGAGUCCAGCCUUUAAGACCUUCGGGUCAAAGAGGGGAAGACUGAGUGGCGGACGGGUGAGUAGCACGUGGGCAACCUGGCUCAUAGAGGGGGAUAACAGAGAGAAAUUUCUGCUAAUACCGCAUAAGCACACACUGCCGCAUGGCAGAGGGUGAAAAGAGAAUCGCUAUGAGAUGGACCCGCGUCUGAUUAGCCAGUUGGCAGGGUAAGAGCCUACCAAAGCGACGAUCAGUAGCCGAUCUGAGAGGAUGAACGGCCACAUUGGGACUGAGACACGGCCCAAACUCCUACGGGAGGCAGCAGUGGGGGAUAUUGCACAAUGGGGGGAACCCUGAUGCAGCGACGCCGCGUGAGUGAAGAAGUAUUUCGGUAUGUAAAGCUCUAUCAGCAGGGAAGAUAAUGACAGUACCUGAAUAAGAAGCCCCGGCUAACUACGUG